CCUAGCCCCUGGGGGGACAGAACAGGCACAUGACAAUUUUAGCAACCCAAAAAGAAACCCAAGAAACACGGCUCUUGCUGUGCCCCGGCCAACGCUGAGCUUGGCCUUAUGGGCAGUCUCCCAUGGCCUUUUAUUCUCCUGACCCCGUGAGGUGUGCACAGUGUUGUUCCUUGUUUUCCAGGUGAGGAGCCAAGGCCCAGAGCCACAUCCAUGAUCCUAGCGGCAGACGUGCACGGCGCUCCCAUAGGGGCCUCAAUGCACUCCCCAGGUGGCGUUACCCCUCUGUCCCUCUCCUCUGACCGAAGCUGGUCACCUCACUUCCAGCCCUCGUCAGCUCUCCCUGAUCCCCAUUCUUCAGCGGGUCUAGACUUUGUUCCCAUGCCCAGAAUUCCACCUCCAGGCAUACAGGGGCCUGGUGGGACUCCAGAUGGUGGCCAGCCAUGGGACCAAAGAGGACACCCCCCCCAGUGACAGGAGCAGAAGGGCUGGAGGCAGGAAACCCCUUACCGGUAAGACUUACCUGCAAGUCUCUGCUUCGUGUCCCACAAGAUGGGGGGUGUGGGGUGGAAUCCCUUCCUGGGAGGCUGAAAUGAGAGGACGUGUGUCUAGAACAGAGCCCGCACGAGGAGUUUCCUCUUCCUUCUCUGGGCUGGCCUGUGAGCUCCCGGGAGGCAAGUAAACCGCCCGGUGCAGCCCACGGAGCGGAUGGAUCCAUGACCGAAUCAACACGCUGUACUCGUUGCCCAGCAGCUUGUGUUUCUGGGUUUUGGACUCACACAGAGCACACAGGCCAGAAGUUCCACUUACCUCCUGUUGGAAGGUUUGCGGGCCUCAGGGCCUGGUGGCGGGGGAGGAACAAAUGGCCCCUGAGGGCCUGUGCAGCCCUGACCUUCCCAGGGCCUAGAUAGGUGUAUCCAGGCGUCCCCCCGCUAAUGCUGUGUUGAGGCUGGGGACUCUGAGGGGGACCCUAUUUGGGUCCCCGGUGGGCUGUGUUGUCCACGUGCCCGCUAGCCUGUUCUAGAGAGGGCCUCAGCCUCAUGCCUUCCUAGAGACCCUUGGAGUUUAGCAGAGAGUGGUAACCCAGUGCUGCGUAAAGAGCCCAUCCCCGCCCAGCCCCGGUCAGACUCCACGGGGAGGGCAGAGGCCUCUCACUGUUGCAGGAGAGGAAAGUGUCACGUCCCGGGACCCGCAGGAGUCCUUAGAACAGACCACCGCCAAGUGAGGGUCCUUGCUUCUUCGCAGGAGAGAAUUCAGGAUGGAGCCAGAGAAAAGCGGAGGUAAGUUUAUUUAGCGCAAUGCACUUACUCCAUAGUCAGAAUGCUGA
Molecule: long non-coding RNA, 1324 nt
Filed under: Bos indicus x Bos taurus (hybrid cattle)
Lineage: Eukaryota; Metazoa; Chordata; Mammalia; Artiodactyla; Bovidae
Description: lncRNA (ENSBIXG00005006193.1)
Source: RNAcentral